RNAcentral lists this ribosomal RNA (3597 nucleotides) under Triticum aestivum (bread wheat). Its description in RNAcentral is "partial small subunit ribosomal RNA". The record is from RNAcentral. Lineage: Eukaryota; Viridiplantae; Streptophyta; Magnoliopsida; Poales; Poaceae.
AUGGAGGCGACGGCGCUGAGCAUUGGCAAAUCAGUGCUAAAUGGAGCUAUUUGGUACGCCAAAUCCGCCAUCGUGGAGGAGGUAGCUCUGCAGUACGGAGUCCAUCGCAACAAGGCCUUCAUCACAGAUGAGCUGGAGAUGAUGCAGUCUUUCUUGAUGGUGGCACACGAUGAGCGAGAUGAGCACAAUAAGGUGGUGAGGACCUGGGUGAAGCAGGUCCGUGACGUGGCCUAUGAUGUCGAGGAUGGCCUCCAGGACUUUGUCCUCCGCGUCCAUGGGAAAUCCUGGUGGCGCAUCCCUCGCACGUUCCUCGAUCGGCGCCAUGUCGCCAAUCAGAUGAAGGAGCUGCGUGCCAAGGUCAAGGACGUGAGCCAGAGGAACGUGCGGUACCACCUCAUCAACUGUGCCUCCAAAGCUUCUGACCUCUCCAUCACCACUGCUGCAGCCAUGUUUGGUAUCGAUGAAGCAGGAACUCAUGCCACAAGUCAGCAUGAAUCAGGAUCAAGAUUGGAUCUUACUCAGCUGAUUGUCAACAACAAGAAAGGCUUGGGCUCAGACCAAACUGGAGUUAUUGGAGUGUGGGGAACAAGCGGCACCCUCGGGCAUACCUCCAUCAUCUGGGAGGCCUAUGAGAAUACAAACAUCAAACUCAACUUCCCAUGCCGGGCCUGGGUCAGGGUGACGCACCCUUUCAAUCGCAAAGAGUUUGUUGAGAGUAUAGUGGAACAAUUUCGAGGAACCUCUGCAGGGGUGGUUGAAUUUCUUCUGGAGCCAGAGGCAAAGAAGACGACGCACGAGUUGGCUCAUGAGUACAACGGAUAUGUCAGCAAGAAUAGAUACCUGAUUGUGCUUACUGAACUAUCCACCAUUGAAGAAUGGCAUCGAAUAAAAACUUGCUUCCCAGAAAACAAACUGGGAAGCCGAAUCAUAGUGUCCACAGAGCAUGUUGAAGUUGCAAGUUUAUGCCCGGGCCAGGAAAGUAUUGCAUCGGGGCUCAAGCAAUUGUCUGCUGAACAGACUAUCUAUGCUUUCUACCAGCAGAGGUCCCAAGAUGUUACAUAUUCAUGGAAGCCAACAUCUAGCUCAAUACUACCCUGCACUGCUGAGAAUGAGAUACAAGAAGAACAAUCUAAUGAUAAUACUGAUGGAAAGAUGAUAGUACAAAAUAUGCCCACACGCAUCAACAUGAUGCCAUGUACUUUUGAGGAUUUUCAGCUUAUUGGGCGGGAGAAAGAAAAGUCUGAUAUUAUUGGAUUAAUUCGAAAACACGCUUGUACUCAAAAACUUCAGGUGAUCGCGCUCUGGGGAAUGGGUGGUAUUGGAAAAACCACUCUAAUCAAAGAUGUAUACCAGAGACAAGAGGUUAGCGACAUGUUUGAGAAACAUGCUUUUGUCACAGUUUUGCGACCUUUCAAGCUUGAGGAGCUCCUUAGAAGCUUAGCAUGUCAGUUCGAAGCAAAGAAGACCGGCAUGGACUUUGCAGGCGAUAGCGAAAAAGAUAUUGCUUUGAUGGGAGUUGCAAAGUUGACUGAACUGUUGGGCAGACGUUCACAAGGAAAAAAGUGUCUGAUGAUUCUCGAUGACCUAUCAUCGGUCAUGGAAUGGGAUAAAUUGAUGCCGAGUUUACUUGCAAUGAAAAAUCCAAGCUUGGUUAUUGUGAUCACAACAAGGCGAGAGGAUAUUGCUAAACAUUGUUGCCAGAAACCAGAGUACAUGCAAGAAGCAGAGUGCAUACGCUCGCUCAGUGGUCUACAAGACAAACAUGCAUGUGACCUCUUCAUAAAUAAGGUAUUUAAGAAUAAAUCCACAGAUUUGGCCAAGCACUAUCCAGAAUUGGUUGAACCCGCCAAGCUCAUCCUAAGGAAGUGCAAUGGACUUCCUCUUGCUAUAGUCACUAUAGGUGGUUUCUUGGCGGACCAACCAACAAAAACUGCUGCGGAGUGGAGGAAAUUAAAUGAGCAUAUCAGUGUUGAGCUAGAGAUGAAUCCAAAGCUUGAGGUCAUAAAAACAGUCCUUAUGAAAAGUUAUGAUGGCUUACCCUAUUACCUCAAGUCUUGUUUUUUGUACAUGUCCAUCUUUUCCGAAGACCGCAAUGUUAGCCGGCGACGAUUGGUGUACCGAUGGAUCGCAGAAGGUUACUCGCAGGAUAGAUCCGGAGCGGAUAGAUACUUCAUGGAACUCAUAGAGAGAAGCAUGAUAUUACCAACUCAGCAAUCAGUUUACAGCAUACAAGGAUUUGACUCCUGCCAGCUACAUGAUCUGAUCCGUGAUAUCAGCAUUGCCAAGUCAGUGGAGGAAAAUCUUGUUUUCAGGCUGGAGGAAGGUUGUAGCUCGAACACUCAUGGUGCGGUGCGUCACCUUGCCAUAAGCAGCAAUUGGAAAGGAGAUGAGCGUGAGUUCCAGAGCACCGUGGAGCUGUCCCGUAUAAGGUCAUUGACGGUGUAUGGCAAGUACAGGCCAUUUUACAUUUCCAAUAAGAUGAGGUUUCUUCGGGUGCUGGACCUUGAAGAUACAAUAGGUCUCACUGAUCAUCACCUUGAGAUCAUUGGGAAGCUUAUUCAUCUCAGAUUCCUUUCUCUAAGAAGGUGUUUGGACAUCUCCUACCUUCCAGAUUCCGUGGGUAACCUGAGACAACUUGAGACACUAGACAUCAGAUAUACACGAAUAUUGGUGCUGCCCAAAACCAUCACCAAGCUGAGCAAGCUACGUUAUCUGCAUGCUGGCGUGAGUUAUGGUGUUAAGGUUCCAGUAGGGAUUAGGAAAGUGAAUACCCUGCACACGCUGCGGUAUGUGAACCUUUUGGAGGGGAAUGCCAUCAUGCAGGAGAUAAUAAGUCUAACCGGCUUGCGCAAGCUAGGAGUGUUUGGCAUCAACGCGAAAAAUGGUCCGGAGUUCUGUGUAGCCAUUUCUAGACUCAGCUGUCUUGAAUCUUUGUCAGUUCGGUCAGAAAAAAAGGAUUUACAUGACUGCUUGCAUGGUAUGUCUUGGCCUCCGGAAAAACUGCAGACCCUCAAACUGCGUGGCUGCCUAAAUGGUUUGCCAGAAUGGAUCAAGGGGCUUGAGAAUCUCGUGAAGCUCAAUCUAGAAUUGACCGGGCUACUAGGAGAUAGUGAAACCAUGCAAGUCAUUGGGAACCUACCAAACCUAUCCAUUCUUCGUUUGCUGGACCGUGGUAUUGAAGAACCUAUCAGUAUCACUUUCCAGGCUGGCCUUUUCAGAAGCCUCGUGGUAUUCUAUCUUGUUUGCAUGCAUGUGAAAAUCGAAUCACUGGAGUUUGAGCAGACAGCAAUGCCGAAACUUGAGGUGUUGAGCCUGCGACUAUUUGAUUCUGCAACGGGCAUUUCUGGGCUGGGAUUUCUCCCAAGCAUCAGGGAAGUACAGCUCAUUGUGGAGUUUUACUCAUUUCAUAUCCAAUGCACUGAAGAUAUAACACAUAGAGAAGCACACAAUGAAGCAAGGCGCAGGGAAUACACAGUCAAGGAGGACAUCAGGAAGCAGCUCACCAGCAAUAAAAAUGGUCCCACUUUGAAGGUGCAACAUAUGUGUCGUCGGGAACAAGAACAGAAGCAGUUUCUGUUAAAUUUUGUGCAAACAUAA